AGCUCCAAUAGCGUAUAUUAAAGUUGUUGCAGUUAAAAAGCUCGUAGUUGGAUUUGUGGUUUACGCAAGACUUCCGUCCCUUCUUUGGUUCGGUGUUGUCUGGCGUUGCCAUCCUUGGGUGGAAUCUGUGUGGCAUUAGGUUGUCGUGCAGGGGAUGCCCAUCGUUUACUGUGAAAAAAUUAGAGUGUUCAAAGCAGGCUUAUGCCGUUGAAUAUGUUAGCAUGGAAUAAUGAUAUAGGACCUUGGUACUAUUUUGUUGGUUUGCGCACCGAGGUAAUGAUUAACAGGGUCAACUGGGGAUAUUCGUAUUCCGCUGUCAGAGGUGAAAUUCUUGGAUUUUUGGAAGACGAACUACUGCGAAAGCAUUUAUCAAGGAUGUUUUCAUUAAUCAAGAACGAAA
Molecule: ribosomal RNA, 400 nt
Filed under: phytoplankton environmental sample
Lineage: Eukaryota
Description: partial small subunit ribosomal RNA
Rfam family: Eukaryotic small subunit ribosomal RNA
Source: RNAcentral